RNAcentral lists this long non-coding RNA (1484 nucleotides) under Homo sapiens (human). RNAcentral describes it as "non-protein coding LINC01007:6". Lineage: Eukaryota; Metazoa; Chordata; Mammalia; Primates; Hominidae. The record is from RNAcentral.
GGCCAUAUGACUAGUGCUGCCCAAUGGACUGUGAACAGAAAUGACAGCAUCACUCGCAUGGAGACUCCUCCAUCUCUGUCUUCCCUGUUGUGACAGUCUCAGAGCCUACGUUCUUUCAAUGGCUGGGCUACAAGAUGGUGACAGGCUGCCCAACCUGACACAGCAAGAAGGCGGCCAUCUGCAAACCAGAAAGAGAGCCCUCACCAGGAACCGGAUCUGCUGGCACCUUGAUCUUGGACUUCCUAUCCUUUAGAGCUGUGAGAAAUGUCGCCCCCAGGUCAAUGGGAUAUUUGUUACAGCACCAGGUACUGCCUGAGAACUCUACCUUUAGGGAGCCUGCGUGCUGGGUCACUGGGGAGACAAUGAAGGUGCUUGACACCCAGUUUGAAUAUUGUGUCACUGCAAAGCUGACUGCUGUUGAAGGAUAGCCAGUGAGAGGUCAUGGCAAGCCAUCAGAAGAAGCAGAAGUCAUGAGCAUGCUGAAGCUAUGAGGCCAAGACAAAAUGUCACAUUGCCACAAGAAGAGGGACAAACAGGCAACAGGCAGAGCCCAUGGGAAUCAGUAAUCUCCUGCUGACACUGAGGCCUUGGGACUAACUCAGAUCCAGUACUACUCUCUUGGGACCUGUUCUGACUCCAGCUCCUGUCCUUGGGGUCCACUGAGAUCCCUGUAGCCUUGUAAUAAGCCCACAUUAUCAUAUUUCCCCUGCCGGCUCCACCCUAGAGCAUUUCCAACAAUUUCCAGUGCUUUUCCCCUUCUCAUACCACUGGGCCUUUGCACGUGCUCGUGCCUCCCCAACUUGCCCUGCCUUCUCCUUCACCCAGACAACUCCUACUAAAUCUCUCAGACUCCUCAGCUGUGUCCCUUCCUAGGGGAGGACUCUCUUCCCUCCAGUGAGCCCGGUGGUCCUCCCUGGGAUCCCCUGCUCCUUGUCUUCCCUGCCGUCCUUACUGCCAUCCUUGUUCUCUACUCAGAAGGAGGCAGAGGCUGGCCUGCCCCCAAUCCCCUGUAGACUGACCAGAUGAAUUGACCUGGGCUGGGCAGGGCAGGCGUGUUUGACCAGUUGUCUGGGCACCCCAUGGCUCAGUCAAGUUGACACAUAAAGUUCACCGCCCCAGGGCCCCUUCGUUGUAUUUGUGUAUGAAUAAAACACAGCAUCCACUCCAGGUAUCUGAGGGUCCUGGAGGCAGGUUUUGUGAUCCCUUUUUACAGAUGAGGAUGCGGAGGUCCAGUUGUCACUCACCCAGAUCACACUCUCAUCUGCUGAUGGGAGGAGUAUUUGAUGGGAUGUGUGAGCCCGGCCGUCUCCCUUGGGACACAUCAGCUCAUUAAAUUUGCCAGCCCCUGCCUGAAAAAGUAUUUAAUUUGCCUUUUACAAUGCACCCAUUGCAAGUUAAUUAACUGGCAAUUGAAAGUUAUAGGUGGCAUUAGAAUUUAUUAAUAACAUUGGGAAUAAAUCUCCCUGGAAUUCAAUUAACUGAAA